UUGAACCUAAUACAAGUUUCUGUGUGUUCAUUUGGGCCUAACUCGGGUGGGCGGCUGACAUAAAGCACACACGUGGUGGUGGUGGUGCUCAGGAGGCUUUUGGCAGAAAGAUUUAUCAUAACAAUGCUCCAAUUGAGUCAUUAGUCUUAGGCAUCCAGAAAUACUGAAAAUGAAGAUGUUGAAGAAUGUCAAUGAAUGUCAAGCAUGUUGGGUCCAACAGAGGCUGAUGGCCUUGGUAGUGACUCAGCUUUAUUAAGAGCAUUGACUGUGACUCAACUCAUCCCAAUGUGAAGUCCUGUCCACAUGACAAAAUCAAGAGGCUUACCUCCUCAGGAGCUUGUUCCGGUGGUGCCAACAUUCUGGAGUUCACAUCACUGGAGUUCCGAUCCCAGAGAGGAUGUGUGGAAUCAGCCAGAGAAUGGAGACUGACAUGAUCUGAGGGUAAACAGAGAUGGCUGCCAUUUAUUGAAGAAAAAAAAAAAGUCUACAUCUUUUGUAGUUCACAAUUGCACAAGGAUUAAAUGGGAGUAAGGGACAUAUGAACUGCAAGGUGGCUUCUGAACAGGGAUUCAGAAACCUAACAUUGAGCUUGAGAAGUUUAUAGGCUUCAGUCAUAUGUUAAUGAAAGGGCCACAAGUUCUCCAUGCCAGAGAUAGGAAUAUCUCCCUUUUAAGGUUGCAGGAACUUUAAGUCCCUGAGGAAAUGGGAACUUUUGUCUAUUUGCCUGACCUUGGCAAAGGACAUUCUUGGCAAAGGACAUUCUUGGGGAUCAAACCUUCAUUAUAGAAAAUUGCAGGUUUUGGUUUUUGUUGUUGUUGUUUUGGGGUUUGGGUUUGUUUUUUUUUGUUUGUUUGUUUUUGUUUUUUUCUUUUUCUUUUUUCUUCUUUUUUUUUUCCAUAUGGCUUAGUUUAUCCAAAUAGCUAGAGCUUGAAGAGAGCAAAGACAAAGCUUGACAAUAUUACUAUGAACCUGA
Cricetulus griseus (Chinese hamster) is the source of this 973-nucleotide non-coding RNA. NCBI's taxonomy places the organism in Eukaryota, Metazoa, Chordata, Mammalia, Rodentia, Cricetidae. The record is from RefSeq and is a predicted model, not a curated record.